AUUGAACGCUGGCGGCAUGCCUUACACAUGCAAGUCGAACGGCAGCACGGGGGCAACCCUGGUGGCGAGUGGCGUACGGGUGAGUAAUGCAUCGGAACGUGUCCUCUUGUGGGGGAUAACCAGUCGAAAGACUGGCUAAUACCGCAUGAGCUCGAGAGAGGAAAGCGGGGGACCGCAAGGCCUCGCGCGAGAGGAGCGGCCGAUGUCCGAUUAGCUAGGUGGCGGGGUAACGGCCCACCAAGGCGACGAUCGGUAGCUGGUCUGAGAGGACGACCAGCCACACUGGGACUGAGACACGGCCCAGACUCCUACGGGAGGCAGCAGUGGGGAAUUUUGGACAAUGGGCGCAAGCCUGAUCCAGCCAUGCCGCGUGUGUGAAGAAGGCCUUCGGGUUGUAAAGCACUUUCGGGCGGAACGAAAUCGCGCGGAUGAACAAUCCGCGUGGAUGACGGUACCGCAAGAAGAAGCACCGGCUAACUACGUGCCAGCCGCCGCCGUAA
This 500-nucleotide ribosomal RNA is filed under the name uncultured bacterium. RNAcentral describes it as "partial 16S ribosomal RNA". It matches the Rfam family "Bacterial small subunit ribosomal RNA", at positions 29 to 523 of the family's 1533-position model. The record is from RNAcentral.